GACGAACGCUGGCGGCGUGCCUAAUACAUGCAAGUCGAACGAGAGCGACCGGUGCUUGCACUGGUCAAUCUAGUGGCGAACGGGUGAGUAACACGUGGGUAACCUGCCCAUCAGAGGGGGAUAACAUCCGGAAACGGAUGCUAAAACCGCAUAGGUCUUCGAGCCGCAUGGCUUGAAGAGGAAAAGAGGCGCAAGCUUCUGCUGAUGGAUGGACCCGCGGUGCAUUAGCUAGUUGGUGAGGUAACGGCUCACCAAAGCCGUGAUGCAUAGCCGACCUGAGAGGGUGAUCGGCCACAUUGGGACUGAGACACGGCCCAAACUCCUACGGGAGGCAGCAGUAGGGAAUCUUCCGCAAUGGACGCAAGUCUGACGGAGCAACGCCGCGUGAGUGAAGAAGGUUUUCGGAUCGUAAAACUCUGUUGUUAGAGAAGAACAAGUGCUAGAGUAACUGUUAGCGCCUUGACGGUAUCUAACCAGAAAGCCACGGCUAACUACGUG
RNAcentral lists this ribosomal RNA (498 nucleotides) under uncultured bacterium. RNAcentral describes it as "partial 16S ribosomal RNA". It matches the Rfam family "Bacterial small subunit ribosomal RNA", at positions 28 to 507 of the family's 1533-position model. The record is from RNAcentral.